GGGGAUGUUACGGAUUCGACAGGUAUAGGUCGAGCUUUUGACGCGCUUCGUAGGUUACGGCUACGCAAAAACGUUCCAGUUAAAUAUAACUGCAAAAACAAACAAUAAUACUUUAGCUUUCGCUGCGUAAAACCAGCUAGCUAAGAUCCUCUUGGUAUCGUCCAUGUACUCAAGUAAGGGUCUCAAACUUAGUGGACUACGCCGUGACCUUCCACCUGGAGGAAUCGGAAGAGACUAAUCAGGUUAGCGUUGUGUAACGCCUGUUAAACGGCUAACACGAGGCGAACUCUAAAUUGUUUAACUAUGAGCGUAGACUUGGAAGUGCCGAUAUAUUUGGACGCGGGUUCGACUCCCGCCAUCUCCAUAC
This is a non-coding RNA of Jeotgalibaca sp. PTS2502, 367 nucleotides long. It matches the Rfam family "transfer-messenger RNA". Rfam says of the family: Bacterial tmRNA, also known as 10Sa RNA or SsrA, is named for its dual tRNA and mRNA-like properties. Its role is to liberate the mRNA from a stalled ribosome. To accomplish this part of the tmRNA is used as a reading frame that ends in a translation stop signal. Lineage: Bacteria; Bacillati; Bacillota; Bacilli; Lactobacillales; Carnobacteriaceae. The record is from Rfam.